UACGUAAGGGGGCUAGCGUUGUCCGGAUUUAUUGGGCGUAAAGAGCUCGUAGGCGGUUUGUCGCGUCUGCUGUGAAAUCCCCGGGCUUAACCUGGGAAUGGCAUUUGGGACUGCAAGGCUGGAGUGUGGCAGAGGAGACUGGAAUUCCUGGUGUAGCGGUGAAAUGCGUAGAGAUGCGGAGGAACACCGAUGGCGAAGGCAGCCCCCCUGGGCUAGCACUGACGCUCAGGCACGAAAGCGUGGGGAGCAAACGGG
This 255-nucleotide ribosomal RNA is filed under the name uncultured bacterium. RNAcentral's name for it is "partial 16S ribosomal RNA". It matches the Rfam family "Bacterial small subunit ribosomal RNA", at positions 524 to 776 of the family's 1533-position model. The record is from RNAcentral.